GACGAACGCUGGCGGCGUGCUUAACACAUGCAAGUCGAGCGGAAAGGCCCUGCUUUUGUGGGGUGCUCGAGUGGCGAACGGGUGAGUAACACGUGAGUAACCUGCCCUUGACUUUGGGAUAACUUCAGGAAACUGGGGCUAAUACCGGAUAGGAGCUCCUGCUGCAUGGUGGGGGUUGGAAAGUUUCGGCGGUUGGGGAUGGACUCGCGGCUUAUCAGCUUGUUGGUGGGGUAGUGGCUUACCAAGGCUUUGACGGGUAGCCGGCCUGAGAGGGUGACCGGCCACAUUGGGACUGAGAUACGGCCCAGACUCCUACAGGAGGCAGCAGUGGGGAAUAUUGCACAAUGGGCGGAAGCCUGAUGCAGCAACGCCGCGUGCGGGAUGACGGCCUUCGGGUUGUAAACCGCUUUCGCCUGUGACGAAGCGUGAGUGACGGUAAUGGGUAAAGAAGCACCGGCUAACUACGUG
RNAcentral lists this ribosomal RNA (468 nucleotides) under uncultured bacterium. RNAcentral's name for it is "partial 16S ribosomal RNA". It matches the Rfam family "Bacterial small subunit ribosomal RNA", at positions 28 to 507 of the family's 1533-position model. The record is from RNAcentral.